Molecule: ribosomal RNA, 253 nt
Filed under: uncultured bacterium
Lineage: Bacteria
Description: partial 16S ribosomal RNA
Rfam family: Bacterial small subunit ribosomal RNA
Source: RNAcentral
GACAGAGGGGCCGAGCGUUAGUCGGAAUCACUGGGCUUAAAGCGUGUGUAGGCGGGUCUUUUAGUGCCUUGUGAAAUCCCACAGCUCACCUGUGGAACUGCUUGGCAUACUGGAGAUCUUGAGCCACUUAGGGGCAACCGGAACAAACGGUGGAGCGGUGAAAUGCGUAGAUAUCGUUUGGAACGCCAAUGGCGAAAACAGGUUGCUGGGAGUGCGCUGACGCUGAGACGCGAAAGCCAGGGGAGCAAACGGG